CUCGGAAGAUCUUUACAUCCUAAUUGAAGAGAGGAAGAAGAGGGUGGGAAGAGAAAGGUAGAGGUCAGUGGGCCCCAUCUUCCUUCUCCUCCUCAGAUACCCCAGGUUUAACUAAGGAGCCCUCUUGUACUUGGUACCUAGAAUAUAUGCAAAUCCAGCUAGGUUUCACUGUUGAUUGAACUUGGUCCAAACUUGCACAUAGAAUGGGGGGCUGCUCAGGGGACCAGCCCUGUGCUCAGCGCUAAUCUGUUUAUGCAAUACUUUAAAUGAUGUUAAAUAGGGGAGGGG
Molecule: long non-coding RNA, 288 nt
Organism: Dromiciops gliroides (monito del monte)
Lineage: Eukaryota; Metazoa; Chordata; Mammalia; Microbiotheria; Microbiotheriidae
Exons: 3
Source: RefSeq, a predicted model, not a curated record